GCGGUUGGGAGGUCCGCCGAUGCGGACCGUCGGGGUCGUUACCUCGCCCGGCCGC
Rhodovulum sp. PH10 is the source of this 55-nucleotide non-coding RNA. Lineage: Bacteria; Pseudomonadati; Pseudomonadota; Alphaproteobacteria; Rhodobacterales; Paracoccaceae. The record is from Rfam.